Molecule: ribosomal RNA, 592 nt
Filed under: Podonomopsis evansi
Lineage: Eukaryota; Metazoa; Arthropoda; Insecta; Diptera; Chironomidae
Description: eukaryotic LSU rRNA
Rfam family: Eukaryotic large subunit ribosomal RNA
Source: RNAcentral
UUCAAUAUUGACGUUCGCGCGUCAGUGUGCACUUUUCUCUUAGUAAGACGCUGUGAUCCAUUAGGAAUGGAUGGCUCUCGGGUCAUCAUUGGGCUGUCAAUAGGCCGGCGCGAAGUUCACGAUGGCAAAUGGUGCGACCGCUAUACGGUUGUGCGUAUUGCCUUGUGAGCGCGCCGCGUACUGCUACAGCCGCCUGAUGGAUUUUCAAGACUGCCACGUAAUCGUUUCGGCGAUUACCCGCUGCGGCGGGAUUUUGUGGUGUGUCCGAUCGACAGCGGUUAAAUUUGGGAUACCUUUGGGACCCGUCUUGAAACACGGACCAAGGAGUCUAUCUAGUGUGCGAGUAAAUGGGCGAUAUUGUUUAAACCUAUUUGCGUAAAUAACUUGACUGUUAUGGGAUUACGAGUGCUCCGGCGUGGGCACUCCUCCAUCCCGGGGUAUUUUCAUCACAUGCACUGCUCUCGGGUGGCUGCAUGGAAAAUAUACCAUGAGCGCACUGGAUAUGACCCGAAAGAUGGUGAACUAUGCCUGAUCAGGUUGAAGUCAGGGGAAACCCUGAUGGAGGACCGAAGCAAUUCUGACGUGCAAAUCG